UGGCGGCACUAGCGCGGUGGUCCCACCUGACCCCAUGCCGAACUCAGAAGUGAAACGCCGUAGCGCCGAUGGUAGUGUGGGGUCUCCCCAUGUGAGAGUAGGGAACCGCCAGGCA
RNAcentral lists this ribosomal RNA (115 nucleotides) under Klebsiella pneumoniae. Lineage: Bacteria; Pseudomonadati; Pseudomonadota; Gammaproteobacteria; Enterobacterales; Enterobacteriaceae. The record is from RNAcentral.